GAAAUGCGUAGUCGAUGGGAAACAGAUUAAUAUUUCUGUACUUAUAUAGUGAGUGAAGGAGAGACGGAGAAGGCUAGGCAAGCAUGGCGUUGGUAGUCCAUGUGAAAGUGCGUAGGUUGAUGGUUUAGGCAAAUCCGGACCAUCCUCUUUAAUGAGAAGACUAAGACACGAGACGAGACUCCACGGAGUCGAAGUUGUUGAUGCCAUACUUCCAGGAAAAUCUUCUAAGC
Molecule: ribosomal RNA, 230 nt
Filed under: Dinophysis acuminata
Lineage: Eukaryota; Dinophyceae; Dinophysales; Dinophysaceae
Description: partial Bacterial large subunit ribosomal RNA
Rfam family: Bacterial large subunit ribosomal RNA
Source: RNAcentral